This 460-nucleotide ribosomal RNA is filed under the name uncultured bacterium. Its description in RNAcentral is "partial 16S ribosomal RNA". It matches the Rfam family "Bacterial small subunit ribosomal RNA", at positions 338 to 795 of the family's 1533-position model. The record is from RNAcentral.
CCUACGGGUGGCAGCAGUGAGGAAUAUUGGUCAAUGGCCGGAAGGCUGAACCAGCCAAGCCGCGUGAAGGACGAAGGUGCCAAGCAUUGUAAACUUCUUUUGUCAAGGGACAAAAUCAGGCUCGAGAGCCUGAACGAGGGUACUUGAAGAAAAAGCAUCGGCUAACUCCGUGACAGCAGCCGCGGUAAAACGGAGGAUGCGAGCGUUAUCCGGAUUUCUUGGGGUUAAAGGGUGGGUAGGGGGAAAAUUAAGUCAGAGGUGAAAACCCGGGGGUCAACCCCGGGCGUGCGGUUGAAACUGGUUUUCUUGAGUAGUGGAGAGGUAUACGGAAUUCGUAGUGUAGCGGUGAAAUGCGUAGAUAUUAGGAGGAACACCGGUUGCGAAGGCGGUAUGCUGGAGGGCAACUGACGCUGAGGCGCGAAAGCGUGGGGAGCAAACAGGAUUAGAUACCCGUGUAGUC